CCUACGGGAGGCAGCAGUGGGGAAUAUUGGACAAUGGGCGAAAGCCUGAUCCAGCAAUGCCGCGUGAGUGAUGAAGGCCUUAGGGUUGUAAAGCUCUUUUACCAGGGAUGAUAAUGACAGUACCUGGAGAAUAAGCUCCGGCUAACUCCGUGCCAGCAGCCGCGGUAAUACGGAGGGAGCUAGCGUUGUUCGGAAUUACUGGGCGUAAAGCGUACGUAGGCGGUUAUUCAAGUCAGAGGUGAAAGCCUGGAGCUCAACUCCAGAACUGCCUUUGAAACUAGAUAGCUAGAAUCUUGGAGAGGUGAGUGGAAUUCCGAGUGUAGAGGUGAAAUUCGUAGAUAUUCGGAAGAACACCAGUGGCGAAGGCGACUCACUGGACAAGUAUUGACGCUGAGGUACGAAAGCGUGGGGAGCAAACAGGAUUAGAUACCCUGGUAGUCCACGCCGUAAACGAUGAUAACUAGCUGUUCGGGCUCUACGAGCUUGUAGUGGCGCGAGACUACGACAUUAAGUUAGUCCGUCCGUCGGGUAGGUACGGUCGGCGAGAAGUUAAACGUAACGUAAAGUUAAAGUUAGUACGGCGUUGAGACGNGCCGACGGACGACGACGAGGGAGGAGG
Molecule: ribosomal RNA, 619 nt
Filed under: uncultured bacterium
Lineage: Bacteria
Description: bacterial SSU rRNA
Rfam family: Bacterial small subunit ribosomal RNA (bases 1-522)
Source: RNAcentral